GCUGGCUUUUGGGGGUAUAACGUUUGGACAGGUCAUAGUCCGGGAAUAGGAUUCUCUCUCUCUCUCUCUUUCUCUCUAUCUCUGGAUUGAUGGAUGUCUCCCUGCCUCUAUUUAACAAAAACUGACCCUGGCAGGCCAGGCCAGGCGGUUAGAGCAGGUGGAGAAAGAGCCGGUUGGGUCAGCGGCCCUGUUGGGGCACCCCCAGGUGCUGGGCGGUGAGCAGCCCCGCGGAGGAGUGAGUCCCCGGGCCUGAUGGGGACAGCGGGCGACACAGGCGCGGCCCAGAGCCACCAGGGCCGAGGGGGCUGUGACAGCUGGAAAGUAAAGGAUGAAAUGCUGUGACGGUCCUCGGGGGACAAAUGGGUUUUCCCACCGAAAUAAUGUGUAUGUCGGGGCGCCUGGGGGCUCAGCGGGGCUGCUGUAAUGAAGCACCACGAGCUAGGCGGCUUAAAACAACACAAAUGGAUUCUCUCUCUGCUUGGGAAGCCAGAAGCCCAAGAUCAAGGUGUCACGAGAGCCACGCUCCCUCUAAAGGAUCUAAGGAAGACUUCUUGGCUCUUCAAACUUCUAGUGGCUUCAAGCAUCCCUUUGCCUCUGUCAGCACAGCACCAAUGUCUGCCUACCCUUCGUCUUCUUAGGGCUUCCUCUCUGUGCAUUUCUUAUAAGAACACCACCAGCCACUGGAUUAAAAGCCAUUGGAAUCUAGGAUAACCUCACCUU
Canis lupus familiaris (dog) is the source of this 720-nucleotide long non-coding RNA. RefSeq lists it as uncharacterized. The transcript has 3 exons. Lineage: Eukaryota; Metazoa; Chordata; Mammalia; Carnivora; Canidae. The record is from RefSeq and is a predicted model, not a curated record.